CCCGCGUCCCACCUCAAUUGCCUCCCCCUCCCCCUUCUCCCACCUCAAGAACCCUAGCCUCCUCCUCCUCCUCCUCCUCCCACCUCAGCCGCCUCCCCCCCUCCCCGCCCCCCGCGCGCAUCCGUCCGCCCCGGAUGCGGAGGCGAGCUUCCCGACGACGGCGGCGGCGUUGGAUUCGAUCUGCAGCCGUCUGCUUCAUCCCGUUCUUCUCCAGCCGAACAGGGGCAAGUCCGUGGGGCGCCGCCGGAUGGGGAAGGAAAUGGAGCCCAGGGAGAUGGGUGGCAGCGGCUCACGCACUCCCUCCCCGAGCGAUGGUCCGGCGGAUGGACCUGGGCAUGCUGCGCCGCGGCGGUGUCCCCGGCUUUCCCAGGACGAGCAGUCCGUCGUGCCAUCGGCGCCGUCCUCGCGUGCUAAGGCACGCUAGCCACCUCCCUGCUCCGUGCCCCACACAUCUGACCCCGCCGCUAUGUUGGGAUGAUGUGCUACUGUGCAGAACAGUGCCUCGACAAACUACAUGAGGUUGGGUUGUGUGAUUGGACCCUGUUUGUGUGCCAGCAGGAAGGGACAAGCAAGAGAAAGUACUGCUAUUCCACUGGAUUUUACUUCCUUUGAUUUCACCAAACUUUGUAUUAUUAUUUUCUUCUGGUAUAGUUCUGCCAAUUUUUUUGCUUCAAUUAGCACAGGAAUAAUGAAGUGAUAUUCAUUCAGUUGUUAUCAGUUCACUAUUUUGAAAUGUGAUCUUGCUUGUUACAGCCUGGUGAACAGUUUGCUCUUUUGCUGUCAAAUACUUUGUUGUUGGCUUAUUUUUGAAUACAGAUUGGAUGCCUCGCUGCAUGUUACUCCCAAGAGAAGAUCUCACUCAAGAAGUGGCCAAACUGAGGUGCCAGGUGAUUGGCAUGCUUGAGGAAGAAUACAAGCAUUGGUGCUGCAUUGAGCAACUGAUGGUUCAAAAAAAAAUCAGCAGCUGGAGGUUCAGGAAGUGGAAAAG
RNA transcript from Triticum dicoccoides, 988 nucleotides. RefSeq lists it as uncharacterized. Lineage: Eukaryota; Viridiplantae; Streptophyta; Magnoliopsida; Poales; Poaceae. The record is from RefSeq and is a predicted model, not a curated record. The transcript is spliced from 4 exons.